RNAcentral lists this ribosomal RNA (440 nucleotides) under uncultured bacterium. RNAcentral's name for it is "partial 16S ribosomal RNA". It matches the Rfam family "Bacterial small subunit ribosomal RNA", at positions 338 to 795 of the family's 1533-position model. The record is from RNAcentral.
CCUACGGCAGGCAGCAGUGGGGAAUAUUGCACAAUGGGGGAAACCCUGAUGCAGCGACGACGCGUGAGUGAAGAAGUAUUUAGGUACGUAAAGCUCUAUCAGCAGGGAAGAAAAUGACGGUACCUGACUAAGAAGCCCCGGCUAACUACGUGCCAGCAGCCGCGGUAAUACGUCGGGGGCAAGCGUUAUCCGGCUUUACUGGGUGUAAAGGGAGCGUAGACGGCAGCGCAAGUCUGGAGUGAAAUCCCAUGGCUUAACCAUGGAACUGCUUUGGAAACUGUGCAGCUAGAGUGCAGGAGAGGUAAGCGGAAUUCCUAGUGUAGCUGUGAAAUGCGUAGAUAUUAGGAGGAACACCAGUGGCGAAGGCGGCUUACUGGACUGUAACUGACGUUGAGGCUCGAAAGCGUGGGGAGCAAACAGGAUUAGAUACCCCGGUAGUC